This 429-nucleotide ribosomal RNA is filed under the name Actinomycetes bacterium. RNAcentral's name for it is "Actinobacteria bacterium partial 16S ribosomal RNA". It matches the Rfam family "Bacterial small subunit ribosomal RNA", at positions 355 to 776 of the family's 1533-position model. The record is from RNAcentral. Lineage: Bacteria; Bacillati; Actinomycetota; Actinomycetes.
UAGGGAAUCUUCCGCAAUGGGCGAAAGCUUGACGGAGCAACGCCGCGUGAGUGAUGAAGGUCUUCGGAUCGUAAAACUCUGUUAUUAGGGAAGAACAAAUGUGUAAGUAACUAUGCACGUCUUGACGGUACCUAAUCAGAAAGCCACGGCUAACUACGUGCCAGCAGCCGCGGUAAUACGUAGGUGGCAAGCGUUAUCCGGAAUUAUUGGGCGUAAAGCGCGCGUAGGCGGUUUUUUAAGUCUGAUGUGAAAGCCCACGGCUCAACCGUGGAGGGUCAUUGGAAACUGGAAAACUUGAGUGCGGAAGAGGAGAGUGGAAUUCCAUGUGUAGCGGUGAAAUGCGCAGAGAUAUGGAGGAACACCAGUGGCGAAGGCGACUUUCUGGUCUGUAACUGACGCUGAUGUGCGAAAGCGUGGGGAUCAAAAAGG